This 72-nucleotide transfer RNA is filed under the name Schistocerca americana (American grasshopper). RNAcentral describes it as "tRNA-Pro". It matches the Rfam family "tRNA". From Rfam's summary of the family: Transfer RNA (tRNA) molecules are approximately 80 nucleotides in length. Lineage: Eukaryota; Metazoa; Arthropoda; Insecta; Orthoptera; Acrididae. The record is from RNAcentral.
GGCUCGUUGGUCUAGGGGUAUGAUUCCUGCUUUGGGUGCAGGAGGUCCCGGCUUCAAAUACCGGACGAGCCC